GAUGAACGCUAGCGGCAGGCUUAAUACAUGCAAGUCGAGGGGCAGCACGAGUAGCAAUACUUGGUGGCGACCGGCGCACGGGUGCGUAACGCGUAUGCAACCUACCUAUAACUAAGGCAUAGCUCAGAGAAAUCUGGAUUAAUACCUUAUAAUAUCAAAUUUAGGCAUCUAAAAUUGAUUAAAGUUCAGACGGUUAUAGAUGGGCAUGCGUGACAUUAGCUAGUUGGUAAGGUAACGGCUUACCAAGGCUACGAUGUCUAGGGGUUCUGAGAGGAUACACCCCCACACUGGUACUGAGACACGGACCAGACUCCUACGGGUGGCAG
This 326-nucleotide ribosomal RNA is filed under the name uncultured Bacteroidota bacterium. RNAcentral describes it as "bacterial SSU rRNA". It matches the Rfam family "Bacterial small subunit ribosomal RNA", at positions 28 to 351 of the family's 1533-position model. The record is from RNAcentral. Lineage: Bacteria; Pseudomonadati; Bacteroidota.